AGCUCUAGAGAGAUAGGGUGUGUUCUGGGACUGGUGGGGUUCUAGGGAGGGACUGGAUAGGACAGGAUCUGUGUCUGUCGGUGACAGGCGACCCAACUGUGGCUAUCUCAGUCACAUUGUUUAUCCAUCUGUCCAUGUACACUGUGUAGAAUGUCUGCCAGUGGGUGAAAUCUGUGUGUCACACAGGGAGGGAAUGACAGUGGUGGGGUGGGACUUCCUCCCCACUUCCCCAGUUGUAACCGUGAGUACCACUGCGCUCACUAAUGACUGAAUAGGGCUUAUAUGUGCAUGUCUUCCUCUUUCAUCUAUAAACUGGAUGGUUUGCAUUUCAUUUACUAAAAAUCAAGAAAGUUGUUCUGCUACAUUUAAAAGAGAAGAUAAAAUUAAGUUCCUGUACACUUCUAAUACUGGUUUUUAAAAAAUGCCUUUCCAUUUGGUAUUCAGUUUUUGCUACAGGUCAGGGUUUUGUUGUGCUUGCCCUGAAAAGUGGAACUAGAAAAGCAGAAACAAAUAAUAGCCCAGUAACCUUGCCACAUGAACCUUUUGGACUUCUUAGAGAGUGUCAACAAGUGUGUGGAUAAAGGUGAUCCAGUUGACAUAGUAUACCUGGACUUCCAAAAAGUUUUCAACAAAGUUCCUCAUCAAAGACUCUUGAGAAAACUUAAUAGUCAUGGGAUAAGGGGACAAGUUCAUGUGUGGAUUGAUAACUGGUUGAAGGACAGGAAACAGAGGGGCAGCAUGAGGAGAAGAAAUACAGCCUCAAUUGAAACCGAUGAAGUGGCACUCAUUCUCUAAAUGCCUGCCUACAGGCAGUAAUGGGCUGGAUGAGAGACAAAAAAUUGAAGCUGAAUCCAAGCAAGACGUAGGUGCUCAUGGUGGGGGCUCAGAAUCUGAGAGCAAAAAAACCAAACCCAAACGCAACAACUGCAAGGGAGAUCAGAGGAAGAUACACAAACAUCACAGGGAGAUGGAAGCUAUUGGCUUGUAUGGAUAAAGGAAAAGCAUCUGUAAUCACAGUAAUGACUGUGGGAGCACAUGGCACCCUUGACUCCCACACCAGGCUCUAUUAGUCCAGGAAAGUGUGGUCCUCCCAUGAGAAAUUCUCCAGCUUGCUCCUUCUACGGCCAUUUUAUCUGCUGUGUUACCACUUCCUUUUCUUUCCCUCUGUGGUCAUGUCAGAAAUCCCUGGGGGCUGCAUUUCACCAAAUUAAUGAACUGCUCCUGAUCAAGAUUUUUCUUCUUCUUUCCAGCUGAUUUGAUUGCAGAGUAUUUGGUCAAUAAUAUAUCCUUAGCACUGAAUAUUAGUUGUAGCAUUGUUUUAAGUACAGGUAUUUAUUUAUGCUUAAACAGGCACAAUGUUCUCAGAUAUGGGUAUGUGAUCAUUACAAGCCAAGGAGAACUCCCUGUGUAGCCUCAUGAAGGAAAUGAAAUAGUAUAGAGAGUUUCUUAAAAAUAGCCUUGUGUAAUGUCAUGGCAAAAACUAACACUUGCUCCAUAAAAAGGACUCAAGAAAAAAUAAAUAAAUAAAUAAAUAAAGCAAAUACCUGGUAGCCAUGAUUUAACAAAUGAACCAUAAUUUUAGCUGGUACAUAAAUGGGCCACAUUAUAUUUUAUUUUAUGCAUUAUUAAAAGGCCCGAGUUAUUUUUAGUACAGUAAAAACUGUCAGCAUACACAAUAUCUUUGUUCAUUCUUCAUUUACAAUGCUUGAAAUUGCACCCAGGAGUCUUAUGCUUCUAUAUUUUGUUUCUUGAUUUUUUUAAAAAAAGAAAGAAUAGGAAAGAUAAAAAUAUGUUGACUUCCAAAUAUACAGUCCUAUCCUAAUUAAUGCAAAUGCUCGGCAAGUCCCUUUAGCUGUGGCAAUAACACUAAUGGGUUUCAUUAGUGAGUCUGCAUCCUUCUUUCUCAUUUGCAGUACAAAAAUCAUUGAUGCUUCCAGCGAUGUUCAAAAACAUCGCUAGAGUAAAUAGAUGUGAAAUUGAACUUCACUUCCUGUGUACCCUUGGGAAUAUUUUCUAUUCUAAGCUGCACAUUAAGGAGUAAAAAUGUAGGGCAGUUUGAUCCCCCGCUACCCACUGACCUGCACACAAGACAGGAUUAUUGUUAUUGUUAUUGUUAUUUCUUCUUUACACAGUCAGACAGGUGUUAUUGACUGGUUUGAUUUAUCUAUACAUCGAGUCAUUCCAAAGGACCUGGGAUGGCUGAAUUUUAUUAUCAGUAUCGUUGUUGUUAUUAUUAUAGAUAUCGUCGUAGAAUAUAGGCUGUUCCCAGUAAAGUUGCUUUUUGUAAUUGGCUGAUGGUGAUUUCUGUGGCCCAUAUGGUGUUUAGGUGCUCUUCAAGAUGUUUUGGAAUUGCACCUAGGGCGCCAAUUACCACCGGGAUUAUUUUGGUCUUCUUCUGCCACAGCCUUUCAAUUUCAAUUUGUAGAUCUUUGUAUUUCAAUUUGUAGAUCUUUGUAUUUCAAUUUGUAGAUCUUUGUAUUGUUGUUGUUGUUGUUGUUUACACAUUCAGACAGGUGUUAUUGACUGGUUUGUUUUAUCCAGACAUCGAGUCCUUCCCAAGGACCUGGGAUGGCUGAAUUUUAUUGUCAAUGUUGUUGCUGUUGUUAUAGAUAUCAUCGCAGAAUAUAGGCUGUUCCCAGUAAAGUUGCUUUUUGUAAUUGGCUGAUGGUGAUUUCUGUGGCCCCUAUGAUGUUGAGGUGCUCUUCAAGUUGUUUUGGAAUUGCACCUAGGGCGCCAAUUACCACUGGGAUUAUUUUGGUCUUCUUCUGCCGCAGCCUUUCAAUUUCAAUUUUUAGAUCUUUGUAUUUUGUUAUUUUUUCUAUUUCCUUUUCUUCUAUUCUGCUAUCCCCUGGUAUUGCUAUGUCGAUUAUUUUGACUUGUUUUUCUUUCUUCUCGACUACAGUUAUAUCUGGUGUAUUGUGUGGCAGAUGUUUGUCUGUUUGUAGUUGGAAGUCCCAUAAUAUUUUUGCAUCUUCAUUUUCCACAACUUUUUCAAUCUUAUGGUCCCACUAAUCUUUGGCUGCAGGUAGCUUGUAUUUUUUGCAGUUGUUCCAGUGUAUCAUCCCUGCUAUCUUGUAAUGCCUUUGUUUGUAGUCAGUCUGUGCGAUCUUUUUACAACAGCUGAUUAGGUGGUCCAAUGUUUCAUCUGUUUCUUUACAAAGGCGGCACUUGCUGUUUGUUGUUGAUUUUUUUGACUUUUGCUCUUAUUACAUUGGUUCUUAGUGCCUGUUCUUGUGCAGCCAGUAUUAAACCCUCUGUUUCUUUCUUCAAGUUGCCAUUCUUAAGCCAUUGCCAGGUCUUGGUGAUCUUUGAUUUUCCAGUUAUAUUGUGCAAAUAUUGACCAUGCAGUGGCUUAUUUUUCCAUUUUUCUGUUCUGUUCUUGACUUGUUCUUUCUUGUAGGCCUGCUUUGUUUCAUUGGUGUUUAAUAGUUUCUCGUUCUUGACCAUUUUAAGUGCAUCUUCUUCACUGUCCUUGAUAUAUUCUUCCAGGCCUCUUUUCUCCUCCUCUACUGUUUGAUGAACUUGCAGCAUUCCUCUUCCACCUGAGCUGCAAGGGAGGUAUAACCUAUCGACAUCACUGCGGGGGUGCAGAGCAUGACUCAUCUUCAUCAUCAUCAUCAUCAUCAUCAUCAUCAUCAUCAUCAUUUCUUGUUUACACAGUCAGACAGGUGUUAUUGACUGGCUUGUUUUAUCCAGACAUCGAGUCCUUCCCAAGGACCUGGGAUGGCUGAUAGUUAUUGUUGUUGUUAUUGAGGAACCUGGAUGUUAGACACAGCAAUAGUAUGUGACAUUUCAAUACAGGAAUACUCCAAGAGGUAAGUCAAGGGGGAGGGAUGCUUGGAGUCAUAUAUUUUAAAGUGUUACAUUGCCAGCAAGCCAUAUUGUGGUUUUCCAAUGGUGCCAUUCAAGCAUAUUAAUAGUAUUUGAACCAAUGUUCUUAGAUCCUGUUCAUAUAUGUGUAUUGAUGAAUUAAAAUGACUAUCUGCAUAUGUGGAAGAGCAGUCAAAGAGCAAACACCAGAUAAAAAGA
Hemicordylus capensis (graceful crag lizard) is the source of this 4029-nucleotide long non-coding RNA. RefSeq lists it as uncharacterized. Lineage: Eukaryota; Metazoa; Chordata; Lepidosauria; Squamata; Cordylidae. The transcript has 4 exons. The record is from RefSeq and is a predicted model, not a curated record.